Molecule: transfer RNA, 71 nt
Organism: Loxodonta africana (African savanna elephant)
Lineage: Eukaryota; Metazoa; Chordata; Mammalia; Proboscidea; Elephantidae
Rfam family: tRNA
About the family: Transfer RNA (tRNA) molecules are approximately 80 nucleotides in length. Their secondary structure includes four short double-helical elements and three loops (D, anti-codon, and T loops).
Source: Rfam
GCAGUAGUGGAUCAGUGGUAGAAUUCUUGCCUCCCAUGCAGAAGACCCAGGUUUGAUUCCCGGCUAAUGCA